Molecule: long non-coding RNA, 2499 nt
Filed under: Mus musculus (house mouse)
Lineage: Eukaryota; Metazoa; Chordata; Mammalia; Rodentia; Muridae
Description: long non-coding RNA chr5:16093157-16095656
Source: RNAcentral
GCACAUUUAUGAUUUUUUUCAUUCCCAUUCUGUUUUAGAAUUCGUAUGGAGUUGUAGAAUGCUACUUACCUCCUCCAUUUUUCUUUUGUCUGCUGUAAUCUCAUUUUCUAAACUGGGUGUGCCUGUGUUCACAUUGCAGGCAUCGCCAUUCUGGCUUUGAAUCAAAAAAAAAAAAAAAAAAAAGGAGUGUGAUUUAAUUCAAAGGAUUGAAUUGCCAGUUGUAAAUGGAAAUCAAGACGCACAUGCAUUUUUCUCUAUAAAUAGAUGAUUGGCACCGAGUGUGUGUUUUCAGUGUCAAGACACGGGUAAUGUAUAUGAUUGGUGGUGAAAAUAUAUACUGCUGUGGGCGUGGCGCCAGAACCCUGUCUGUGGUCCUUGCCAACUCCUUUCGAGGAGCAUAGCCUCGUGAAGCUGCCUUGCUCCGCUUAAUGGCUUUUGUGAGCUACCAUCCUGGAGUCUCCCAAUAGUGAGAAAUUAACUGCUCCCUAUCUAGAAACUCAGGCUUUAUUCUUGAUUAUAAUGUAAAUUAUUAUAUUAUACUAUACAACAUAAAAAGCUGGGGUGACAGUAUAGUAUGAUCCAAAUGAUACUAGGAGAAAAAAAAAAGUCUACACUGUAAUAAUUCAGGUUAGGCUCAUUGUACAACCUCACCAUUGGCUUGCUAAUGAAAUACCAGCUGUGCUACGGAUAAGAUAUUCAUCGUUAAGACUUGUGAUAAUAUACAUUAUUCUAUGAGGUGAUUACACAUCCAAAGCAUAUACCAAAAAGUUAUUCUUUUAUGUAAUAUAUCAUAUUUUAAAAUUAUUGCUUCACAUUUUAAAUUACUUUGCCAUUGUACUUUUGACAAAUAGGAUUGCUGUAGGACCUUUUAAUGAGUGUGGCAUUAAGGACUUUCUGUUUUAGGCUUUAGUAUAAAGUAUAAGACUCUCUAAUGAGGCUACCAAAGUAAUCAUAAAAUAUCAUCUCAAAGAAUGACACUUAUAUAUGAAGUUACCAUGAAGAAACCCAGUACCUUGCACGUUGAACUUGGAAAAGUAGUAAAAUAAUAAAGAGCACAUGAGGCCAUGUUGGCGCACGCCUUUAAUCCCAGCACUUGGGAGGCAGAGGCAGGCAGAUCUCUGAGUUCAGGCCAGCCUGGUCUACAGAGUGAGUUCUGUUUGGAGAGGGCUAUCUCAAAAACCAACCACCAACCAAAUAAAUAAAUAUAGUGCACCUAUACUCUCAGUCUCUGUUCUUUCUUUGAUGCAUGAACUAUAUGUUGAAAUAUCAGUACUUGUCUAUAUUUUCUUAAAAUGUUCUUGUUACCUUAGAGUGUGUGUAUGUGUGUAUGCUUGUGUUCAUGUGUUCAUGUAACUACCCCAAGUUGUUUUCUGCCCUCCACAAUGCAUAUACAGAAAGUGGAGGACAACUUGGGUAAUAAACUUUCUCCAUCUGGUGUGCAAUCCCUGGAGGCUCAAAUCAACAGGCUUGACAGUAGGCAACUUUACUCAUGUCUAUGGUCAUUUUCCUGUAUUUACCUGUAUCUGCCACUGACAUAUACAAUGACUCCCUGCCCUGUAGAGUAGUGAGUUCAGCUUUAUGGCUAAGCUUAUUGUGAUCUGUUGUACAAUCUAUUAGAUUCUAAUAGUGAAUUGGAUGAGGCAAGAGUAAAUCCAGGAAUUAAUUCAUAUAUAUAUAAACAUAUAUAUAUAUAUACAUAUAUAUACAUAUAUACACAUAUAUGUAUACACACACACACACAUAUACACACUCACACACACACAUAUUAUCAGUAACUAUCAGCUAAAGUUGAAACACCCUAUGACCACUUGCAAAACUCAAAUACUUAUAGUCUAAUUUUAAUUCAUGCACAUAGGGAUGUAUAUACUGGAGGAACAAGGUACUAAAUCUAGUGAUUCAGUCCCUUACAGUGUGAAAGCAGCUAACUGAAGAGCUGCUUGACCACUAAUAUGUUAAGGCAGGCUGUAGAGAGAGCAGUGGUUCUAAGAGCUUUUGCUCUAGGAAAGCAUUUUUGCCUUUGGUUCAAUUUUUGAGUGCCCUUGAAGAACCUUUCCUACCAUUUGUUCAAUUUGUUUCUAUUAACUGUUUGGUUCAUCUAAAACCCUUGUUCUGAAUAUAUACAUAGAAACACUUUCUAAACUUUUUUUAAAAAAUGUAUCAUUUUAAGUUAUUCUACAUGUGGGGAGAUUACAGAGAUAAUGCCAUCUGUAGUAAUCGAGUAAAUGAAUUUUCUCAAAAAUAAUUGAUGGUUCUGUGUAGCAAAGUCUUGUGAACCAGUUGGUUUUUCUCUUGAUGUGAAAUCUUUAUUGAAAGUCUUCUGGAAUAAGCUUUAUCGUCUGGAGACCUCUGGCUCUCUCUCCACAGAGCCGGGAUCACAGGCCAUCUGCCACUCCGUCUGCCUUUUUUAUGGUGUCAGGACUCCAACUCUAGUCUUCAGGCUUACACAGCAAGCAUUUUAUCUACUGUAGCAUCUACUGAGCCCAAGAAGAGACUUUUUCC